CCUUCGGGUGUGACUGCGUACCUUUUGUAUAAUGGGUCAGCGACUUAUAUUCUGUAGCAAGGUUAACCGUAUAGGGGAGCCGCAGGGAAACCGAGUCUUAACUGGGCGUUAAGUUGCAGGGAAUAGACCCGAAACCCGGUGAUCUAGCCAUGGGCAGGUUGAAGGUUGGGUAACACUAACUGGAGGACCGAACCGACUAAUGUUGAAAAAUUAGCGGAUGACUUGUGGCUGGGGGUGAAAGGCCAAUCAAACCGGGAGAUAGCUGGUUCUCCCCGAAAGCUAUUUAGGUAGCGCCUCGUGAACUCAUCUUCGGGGGUAGAGCACUGUUUCGGCUAGGGGGUCAUCCCGACUUACCAACCCGAUGCAAACUACGAAUACCGAAGAAUGUUAUCACGGGAGACACACGGCGGGUGCUAACGUCCGUCGUGAAGAGGGAAACAACCCAGACCGCCAGCUAAGGUCCCAAAGUCAUGGUUAAGUGGGAAACGAUGUGGGAAGGCACAGACAGCCAGGAUGUUGGCUUAGAAGCAGCCAUCAUUUAAAGAAAGCGUAAUAGCUCACUGGUCGAGUCGGCCUGCGCGGAAGAUGUAACGGGGCUAAACCAUGCACCGAAGCUGCGGCAGCGACACUAUGUGUUGUUGGGUAGGGGAGCGUUCUGUAAGCCUGCGAAGGUGUCCUGUGAGGCAUGCUGGAGGUAUCAGAAGUGCGAAUGCUGACAUAAGUAACGAUAAAGCGGGUGAAAAGCCCGCUCGCCGGAAGACCAAGGGUUCCUGUCCAACGUUAAUCG
This 787-nucleotide ribosomal RNA is filed under the name Klebsiella pneumoniae. RNAcentral's name for it is "partial 23S ribosomal RNA". It matches the Rfam family "Bacterial large subunit ribosomal RNA", at positions 582 to 1371 of the family's 2925-position model. The record is from RNAcentral. Lineage: Bacteria; Pseudomonadati; Pseudomonadota; Gammaproteobacteria; Enterobacterales; Enterobacteriaceae.